Amphiprion ocellaris (clown anemonefish) is the source of this 4250-nucleotide long non-coding RNA. RefSeq lists it as uncharacterized. Lineage: Eukaryota; Metazoa; Chordata; Actinopteri; Pomacentridae. The record is from RefSeq and is a predicted model, not a curated record. The transcript is spliced from 4 exons.
CAUGAACCGGGACGAGGGGUAAGGUAAAACCAUCUUUACUUUGAUUUGUCGGUGUAAAAGAAAUAACGUUAUCCUCUUGGGUGAACUGCCAAUAAAUCUAGUACAGACAUUCAUAUCCCUCAGAAUAUAGAUUGUAAUCACUUUGGCAAUGGCAUAAUUUGUCUUUCCAUUCAUCUAGUGGCAUCGGCUGAUCGAAAAUUAUUAUUCAAAUACUGCAGAUCUGCAAAAUUAGUAACAUUCCCAUUGCUUGGAUCAUGCGAAACUAAGAAGGUAAACGUGGCAAACGUGAUACUGAUGUCGCAAAAAUACAGCAUUUUUUUUUCUUCUUUAUCAUUCUAUAAAAUCAGCUUACUGGGUUUAUUAAAAGAUUACUGAGUUUUUGGUUUGUUUUUUUACCCUCCUCUGUUGCUAUGAUAUUAAACUGUGAAUCUAACAUUUGUCACUUUGCCCUUUUUGUCCAGUCUCAAAGUUCAUCUUGUCGUGUAUUCGUCAGCUGGUGGCAUCAUCUGUUUCAUAUAAUAGAUCCCAUCACGGAUAACAGAGCCCGAUAUGUUGUGUAACGCUCUACAUUUAGAUAAUAAAGUAGGCCAAUGCUGCUCUAAAAUGCUUUAUUCCCUCACAGACAUUCUGGUUCCACUUAAAUGAUGCAACACUCUAUUGUACACAGCUUACUGUCUGAGAUGUCUACUGUUAAAAAUGCAUGUAAACAGCACUUAAGGCUACGUCAGGUCUGCGGCCUUUGUGAUUGGUUGAUGUAACAGGAGAGCUCUACAGCGGUUAAAAAAAUAACAGUCGUCUUUAUUUCACUGAAAUCCAACAGAAAUCCCUUCCAUAAUCCAACAGACUCCCCAGAGACAUCCAACAACUGCAAAGAGGGGAGGAAAAAAAAAAGAAACAUACAUGCCCGCCCACAGGCUUUAUUGCAUUGAAAGCAUUUGAGGCUGCAGAAAAAGCUUUUGGGCAACAUGUCUGAUUCCAAAAUCAUAGCUUAAGGAUGUAGGGAGGGAUUUAGAAGAGGUGAACAUUUGUAAGAAGUGCACAACACUGUGGAUGGUGUUAAAAUAAUACAGACUUAAUUUGCAUUUGUGUAGAUGAAACCAUGAAAACAAAGAGCUGAAGAGUUUUAUUUUAGGAUGAGACAUCCACCUACACAGAUGUGAAAUUAAAAACACCCUUAUUGGAAGAACAUGCGAUCUCUUCCAAAGUAUUUAACAGGUUUCUUAGUAUGAACAUUAGAGAACUAAAUCUAAUUUUUAAAAUGCAUAAUUUUAACUAUCUUUAAAAAACAUAUAAGGUGGCUUAUCUUUAUUUUGAAAAAAAAAACACCUGGAAUAAAAUUCUUCAGCCUUUGAUUACAGGAUAACAAUGCAAUCACAACGAACUGUAAAGUGCAAACAGCAAAUCCUUACUAUAGUGACAUGAGUCAAAAAACAUUUUUUGUCUUUGUCCUUAGAAAAAGAUCAAGAUUUUCAUACUGAUUUACAGUCAGUCUACAUUACAGUCAGUUACCCAUUAUUAUUAUUAUUAUUAUUAUUAUUAUUAUUAUUAUUAUUAUUAUUAUUAUUAUUAUUAUUCGUAAACAAAACUAAAACAAAUCCAAUCUAAUAUAGCAGCCUGGCAAUAAAUCCAGAGUUAAUGAAGCUUUCAAUGUUCAGUGUGUUGGCAGAGGGUCCGUGUACGGAUCUGGUAACUGGAUUUUCCGCUCUGAAAAACAAAAAAACGAGUGAUUUUCGUUUUAAAAUACAAAAACUAAAAUUGAAAUACAAGGCGUUUUUCCUUUUCAUGAUCAAAAAGGGAUAUACGAUUUUUUUUUAAAUGCUUUGAUUUUCGUUUUAUAUUUAGAAUAACAAGAAAGUAUAAUCACUAAGAGACAGAAACGAAAAAAUGUCCGUUUUUUCAUUUUCUGAGACCGGAAGUGGUCAUCAGGAAGUGUGGAGCCAAACGACAACAAGAUUCUCAGAGGGCGGAGCCAGAGAGCAGUGAUUGGUCAGACCAUAGAUAAUAUAGAAGACAGCGUGCUAGCGUAUCUAAUCUUCUAUAUAUCUAUGGUCGGGACGUCUGGCAGCAUCUCUGGCUGCUGUUGAUUUUGUUUUUGGAGUGAAACACGGUGGAAGCUGAAUUAGUGAGGAUGACUCCUGCUCCUGUCAUCUCUAAGCUCCUCACACAUCUUUACCUGCAGAUGAGGAAAAUCACUCCUGUAGAAUGCAGAUGUUCAGAGGGAGAUGGUGCCACAUCUGGUCCAGCUGAUGGAAGGUCUUGAAGUUCUCUGACUGGCCUGGACUGAAGAUGGUCCUCUCACUGGAUUUAAGGUUCAGAUGCUCAGUAACAAACUCCACCAAUGAACCAACAGGGAAGCUUUAGGUUUAUUAAAUGUUGCUAUGAAGGUAUCGCUGUUUUUCUUUGUGAAUGCAAUGUGCUCCAACUGAAACUUGAAUUAGAACUUAGAAGUAAAUCCUUCCAUCUGAAAGGAUUUAGUUGCAUUAAUAACCUCAUAACAUUUUAAUUUUUAUUCCAGUCUUGGUUGGAAAUAGAAUCUCUGUAUUGAUUCAGGUAAAAACUGAACUUCACAGCAUUUUGGAGCAAAACAACCAGAUGAAAACUGUGAUGGUGUUGGAUUGUCAGACCGUAAUGUUGCAGCUCAAAGCAGCUUUUCUAUCUCAGUUCAUUCUGACAUUCAGCUAUGAAUCAACACAGCAGAUGGUGAUCCAUGCUGUGGAAGUCUCACAUCUCCUGAUUUAAUGGAGCUGCUUUGCACUUUUUACACUGUUUAUUCACCAACACUUUAUUUAAUAAAAGUCCCAUCUAGUUUUUAUGAGGAAUGUGAUGUUUUAAUUUCUCUGUGAAUAACUGCAGUCUAAUGCAACAGCUGGAGUUGUAACAUCUGUCCUGAUGUUGAUCAUGAAGUAUUGAUCAGAAUACUUAUGGUCAGCAGUCAUCCCUGAAGUUUUACAUUAAAAUCUUUACUUGUGUUGUGAACUUUGGUAAGAAGCAGAAACUUUUGCGUUGCCAUGGAUACAUGAGUGUUAAGUUCUGUCCAUGUUUCCAUUUUGGGAAAUGCAGUCCAGUUCCAGAAUGUGGAGGAAUUUAGUCUCACAAUCACAGACAGCAAAUAUUAUCUGAAAGUCGGGUUAUUGUUGUUUAUCAGCACAAUACAAAAAGAUUAAUAUUAGAAAUAUUCCAGUUAAGACUCUAGAAUAUCAUGAUUUAUGUACAUUUCCUCAAUAAUAUGAAUGUUCAGGUUAAGAUUGUACAGUGAUAUUUAUUAUGCAAGUUUAGCUGAUUAAAGUUUACUCUGCACUAAAAUAUUAUUUAAAUUGACAUCAUUAUAAUAUUUAGGGUCAGACCUUACAGUAUUGAGAUUAAGAAAUCAAAUAUUCUAUAAAAUGUAAAUACACUGAACUCAUUUGGAUAUAUUUAAGUGAGACUCUACAAUAUUAUUUGACACAAAUCUAUCUAAAUCAAAAUUUUAAUAAUUUUCACGCCAAACAUUUACUGGACUGAUUUAAAUAUUAAAAUCACUCCUUUCUAAUCCUCUGCUGUACGUUCAAACCUGAGGCCUUAAAUAGAAACACACAAGUAUCUGUUUGAAGGAACUUCUGCAGAGUCCUGGUUCCAGAACAUGAUGAUAAAAUUAUGGACAAACUUUAACAAAAGCUGCCUGAGAGUUUACAGGUUUUUAUGUUAGAUUUCUUCAGUAAUUUAAUGAGUUAUCAGCAAAAAUCAAGUGUUCAUUUGAUGAACUUGAUUUCCUAAAACAUCCAGAAUUGGAGCUCAUAUCUUUGGCAACUGUAAAGUUUCUGCUCCUUCAAAGAUCACAACACAAUGAAUGAAUUCCUAAAACACUCUCAAUGCUGGAGAGUGUUUGUGAUGCUGAAGCAGUGACCAGUUUUUCUGUUUCUUCUCUGGAGAUGCACAAUGAGGGACAUCUGCAGAGACUGAGAAAGAGUCUCACCACAUCCUGACAUGAGGAAAAAGACUUUAUUGAAGACUACAAUGAGAAAAACUAUCAGACAGCAGACGGCUGCAUUCAAGUCUGUAGCUGCUGAAUUCAUGGAUGAAUCAUCUGGCACUAGAGAGGAAGACCAUCAGACAUCCACAUCAGCUGAUGGAGGUCCAAGAGUGUCAUCAAACAAACAACCUACAGAGUGAAGACCUCAAAUCUGAUUGGACGGCCUCCUAUUCAGCCACAUGUGUGAACAAAUGCCUCUAAGCUGAUUUGUUUUCUAAAAUAAAUCUAGUUUGAGUCCUAA